Molecule: non-coding RNA, 84 nt
Filed under: Pseudoalteromonas ulvae
Lineage: Bacteria; Pseudomonadati; Pseudomonadota; Gammaproteobacteria; Alteromonadales; Pseudoalteromonadaceae
Description: c-di-GMP sequence
Rfam family: c-di-GMP-I riboswitch aptamer
About the family: GEMM was predicted in a large-scale screen for bacterial structured RNA regulatory elements. Genes associated with GEMM are involved in a diverse array of functions, including chemotaxis regulation, signal transduction, secretion and chitin.
Source: Rfam by way of RNAcentral
GAAAGUCAAAGGCAAGGUAUUUGAAAAAAUACUCACGCAAAGCUUCAGAUCUAAGGGGAAACCUAAGAUAGCUGGGCUACCAAG